RNAcentral lists this long non-coding RNA (468 nucleotides) under Pan troglodytes (chimpanzee). RNAcentral's name for it is "long non-coding RNA NONPTRT002955". Lineage: Eukaryota; Metazoa; Chordata; Mammalia; Primates; Hominidae. The record is from RNAcentral.
GGCGGGGGAACCUCCGGGCCGAAGCGUGGAGAGAAUAGGAAUGCUGAGAUGCCCAAGGCCGUAAAGCUAGGAAGUGGUGGAGCUGAAACUGUUCUGUGAUCUGUGUCCUCCAAAGCCCUUCCUAAGGGGCGCAGUUAACCGGAGGCAAAAACCUCUACAAAGAUCAUCUGAAAGUCUCUGCGCGCUGAGGAGGUCCUGGCUGUGACUAGGACCAGCUUGAAUGCAAGGCAUGGCACACUGAGAAGGUACGGGACCCAAGCAGGGCGGGCGGAAGCAAGCAGCAGCAGCCUGAGGGGUCACCAAGGCCUGCGUGUGGAGCAGGUGAUCAGGGAGAGGUCUGCGGAGGGGCACGGUCCCCACACGCCCCGUGGGCGUCCUCGUGUGCAUCCUGGAUUCUGCCGCGCCAGCCGCGCCAGAAGAGUGUUGUGCGGCGAUCUUCUGAUGACAAAUAGGCGGUCAGGACUGCCC